GGGNGAUCCCGCCGGAGGCCACUGCUUUAGGGGUUUGACUAAGCCAUGCGAGUCGAGAGGUUCAAGGCCUCGGCGUACUGCUCAGUAACACGUGGACAAUCUGCCCUGAAGUGGAGAAUAAUCCCGGGAAACUGGGGGUAAUACUCCAUAGUUCGUUAUUACUGGAAUGUAUUUCGAACGAAAGAUCCGUCGCUUCAGGAUGAGUCUGCGGCCGAUUAGGUAGUUGUUGGGGUAAUUGCCCAACAAGCCUGUAAUCGGUACGGGUUGUGGGAGCAAGAGCCCGGAGAUGGAUUCUGAGACACGAAUCCAGGCCCUACGGGGCGCAGCAGGCGCGAAAACUUUACCAUGCGGGCAACCGUGAUAAGGAAACCCCGAGUGCCAGCACAGGCUGGCUGUCCGCCAGUUUAAACAACUGGCGAAGAAAGGGCCGGGCAAGACCGGUGCCAGCCGCCGCGGUAAUACCGGCGGCUCGAGUGGUGGCCGCUAUUACUGGGCUUAGAGGGUCCGUAGCUUGAUAAUAGGGUCCCUUGAGAAAUCCGCCGGCUUAACUGGCGGGCGUUCAAGGGAAACUUGUUUUCUAGGGACCGGGAGAGGUGAGGGGUACUGCCGGGGUAGGAGUGAAAUCCCUGUAAUCCCGGUG
This 640-nucleotide ribosomal RNA is filed under the name uncultured archaeon. RNAcentral describes it as "bacterial SSU rRNA". It matches the Rfam family "Archaeal small subunit ribosomal RNA", at positions 6 to 653 of the family's 1478-position model. The record is from RNAcentral.